This 876-nucleotide ribosomal RNA is filed under the name bacterium. RNAcentral describes it as "partial 23S ribosomal RNA". It matches the Rfam family "Archaeal large subunit ribosomal RNA", at positions 2030 to 2897 of the family's 2987-position model. The record is from RNAcentral.
AAGGUAGCCAAAUGCCUUGUCGGGUAAGUUCCGACGUGCAUGAAUGGAUCAACGACCUCCCCGCUGUCCCCGCCUGGGGCCCGGUGAACCCACAUAACCUGGACGAACAGUCCAGGAUCUUCCAGCGGGGCGAGAAGUCCCCGUGGAGUUUUACUGCAGCUUGUCGCUGGGUUGUGAUUGCGGGUACAGAGCGUAGGUGGGAGCCGUCGAUGUCGACUUCUUCGGGAGUCGAUGGAGGCGCCAAUGUAACACCACCUAUCUGCGGUUACAGUUCUAACUGGACCAAAAGUCCGAGACAACGGCAGGCGGGCAGUUCGGCUGGGGCGGCACCCCCUUGAAAGAAUAUCAAGGGGGCCCAAAGCUCGACUCAUCCGGGACAGGAACCCGGAGUAGAGGGCAAGACCAAAAGUCGGGCUGACUGGAUCCUCAUCAGCAAGGGAUCCAGAGGCGAAAGCCGGGUCUAGCGAUCAUUCAUGUCCCCAUUGUUGGGGGCUGGAUGUGACAGAAAAAUUACCCCGGGAGUAAUUGGCUCGUCUCCUCUGAGAGUCCCCAUCGACGAGGAGGAUUGGUUCUCCGUCGUCGUCCCUUCCCAUCCUGGGCCCGCAGCAGGGUCCAAGGGCGCGGCUGUUCGCCGAUCAAAGGGGAAUGCGAGAUGGGUUUAGACCGUCGCGAGACAGGUCGGACUCUACCUGCUGGAAGUGCUGGUCGCCUGAGGGGAAGGCGCCCCUAGUACGAGAGGAACGGGGUAUCGUAACCUCUAGUUUACCGGUUGUCCGACAGGGCAUUGCCGGGCAGCCACGUUAUCGAGGAUAAGGGCUGAAAGCAUCUAAGCCCGAAGCCUCUCCCGAAAAUAGGCGGCCGAUCCUUUCCAAGGGA